RNAcentral lists this ribosomal RNA (255 nucleotides) under uncultured bacterium. Its description in RNAcentral is "partial 16S ribosomal RNA". It matches the Rfam family "Bacterial small subunit ribosomal RNA", at positions 524 to 776 of the family's 1533-position model. The record is from RNAcentral.
UACGUAGGGGGCUAGCGUUGUCCGGAAUCAUUGGGCGUAAAGAGCGUGUAGGCGGUCCGGUAAGUCCGCUGUGAAAGUCGGGGGCUCAACCCUCGAAUGCCGGUGGAUACUGUCGGGCUAGAGUGCGGAAGAGGCGAGUGGAAUUCCGGGUGUAGCGGUGGAAUGCGUAGAGAUCCGGAAGAACACCGGUGGCGAAGGCGGCCUGCUGGGCAGUUUAGCUGACACUGAGGCGCGACAGCGUGGGGAGCAAACAGG